UUAGAAAAGAUGACACUGACAAAACCAUGGAGGCUAGUUUGGAGACGUUUGUUAUUUUCUGUUGAAAGAGAACAAUUAGGAGGCUACUGUAGUGGUCACCCGAGACUAAUCAUGUGAGAUAAGGUUGGCAGAAGGGAAGGUCCUUCUCAUCAAACAGAGGAAGAAACUGAAGCUCUGACUGGUGAAUGAAUUCAAGGAAUGGAUUAAAGACUGUAUUUACAAUAACCGGGACAUGGAAGCCACCUAACUGUCCAUCGACAGAUGAAUGGAUAAAGAAGAUAUGGCACAUAUAUACAAUGGAAUAUUACUCAGCCAUGAAAAGAAAUGAAAUUGAGUUAUUUAUAGUGAGGUGGAUGGACCUAGAAUCUGUCAUACAGAGUGAGGAUAGCAAAGGGACAACAAACCUUAUACUAUGGAAAGAUUUGGUUGAAAAAUGAUCUUCUAUUGACUAGCAAGUUCUGACAAGGCCCACUGUGUGGGUGUAUGGAAAAUUGAAAAGAAAACCUAAAGGAGUCUUUUGGGAGAAACUGCUAACAGGACUUGUACUAUUUUGCACAUGGUAAGGGCAAAAUACACAUGCAGUGCAUCACAUUGUAAAACAAAAGAGGAAAAUGGAAGAAAUGAUGUAUCAUCACACAGAAAAUAUAUGAUGAGAAUCUUAAUAUCACAGCCCCAUAUUGGCUUUAAAAAUCUGAAUAUUUCAGCAACUGCAUUCAAGCCUCGUUUGCAGUCAGAGACCUCAAAAUGGGUGACUAAAGGGAACGAUAAACCAGAAAAAGUUCAUCCCACAGCCCUCACCACAAACUGAAAAGUGAGGUCGAGGAAUGCUUCCCAGAGAGAUGAAAAUACAUCAGAUAUGAGAUGCCUAUGAAGCUUUGUUUCAGUCAAUCUAAUUCGAUACCUAAAAAUAAAUAAAGAGAGAGAGUCCUCCUCGUGCCAACAUCAUCAUCUGCAUGUAACCAUCACUUUUGUAGCUAAUCCUCAGGCUGAUUUGGCCAAGUUAACCUGUAAGUAUAAUUCUGCUCUUGCCAACACAUCCCUCUGCCAGAAGAGGCAUGGGAAGAAGACACUGCAUGCGUUACUCAUGCUGUAAUAUGAAACUUUAUUUUCCAAUUCAGAGUUAAUUCAGGAAGCAACAGAAAAACAUGCUGUUGUCUUUUUAAGCACAUUUAAGUGUAUGUGCUCGUAGUUCCUCAUUCUGUGUAUAUAUGCUUUCCCAGAAAGUUCAUGCCCACCGGGUAUGUGUUGCAUGUUUGCUAAUAAAUAAAACCUGCUGGGAACGCAUUAGCUCCAGUUUAAAAGCCAUUUGCUGCUUGUAAGUUCGAGAGUGACCCGCUCCCUAUUUUAAUCAUCAGAAUCUCUCAUGAAUUAGAAAACUAUAACUGGCCAAACUGUAUUGCCUAUGGGGUUGCUUCAAGUUCAAGUCUGUGUAUUUAGAAGUCUUAUUACAGUGGGGAUGAGGAAAGAACUGAAUGGCUGGCCUCCUAACUCUGAGUUGCAUGUGAGGCAUAUCUUAGUUAUUUCUUAAAUUGAUUCUUGCCUGAAUGCUCCCUUAGGGCUUAAAAAUAGAUUUUCAUAUUCCAUAAUUUAAUAAAUAGUCAGGAGGGCAGGCUGUCCCUCCUUUGAAAACUUGGGAAGUCCUCAGUUGUUUGAAUUUCAAGUCGCACUGUGGGAGGCACUGGUUUGUCCUAGGCUUUCAUUCAUUUAGCAUUGACAGCUUCCUGGGGGUGCUGGUGGCUCUGGGGUGGUAGGUCACACAGCUGGGAGGAAGCAGUCCUGUCCUUAUAUGACUCCCUGGGAUCCUGUGCCGAUAGUCUUGUUUGCACAGUUGAUAGAUGUCUGUGUGGCCACCAGAUUUCUAUAUACAAAAGGCAGAGUUCUAUGCGUUACACAGACCUGCUAUGUGGGACCUGCUUAGUGGGGCAAGGUAGAGCCUGUCAGGCUGGGGCAGAGUAAUUGAAAAAUGUACCCUGGCCUACCUAGGUCAUGUGUCUUCUGGUGAGCUCUAUGUAGUAUUAAGCUUAACCAAAGGCUUCUUGUUUUAUUUCCCAUAUUGGGGCCAGGUUACCAUAAUCAUCAUUUCUUAUAAAGCAACUGGUUCUCAGAAUUUUUAUCUUAGAUGUUUAUAAAUGCCUUACUUUUCACUGUCUUAUGUCAGUGCAGACACAAGGGGCAUUGUGUAUAUUUUCAAUACAGUACUAUAUAUUAGCACUCCAUUACGUCCACUCUGGAUGAAAUUGAUUGCUUGGAGGUGAUCACUAAUACAUACGCCCCAUGAGAAGGCAAUGUAAUGAGCUGUGACCUAAACGCACGUGUCCAUUGGCUGCGGAAUCUCUCCUUGCCUGCCACCAAAUCCAGUGGCAGAGAAACCACAGGGCUUUUGUCUUAUACUUAAUUUUUAAUAGGAUCUGAUGUCCCAGAAAUUUAGAAACUUCUGAAAGUGGAAGGAAGACCUGUUGCCCCAGACAUAACCUAAUACUGUAAACGUAGUGAAUCUCAAACUGGAUUUUAAGUAUUUCUUGUGAUGAGGUUUGAUUGGUUCUUGAGAAAAUCAACAUUUUUGGGAGGAGAGUGGGUCUUCAGAAAGAGGAGAAACAACCCCUUUUGUGACAAUUGACUCCUGGAAAAAGACCCCCAGGAGAGCAGGUAUUCUGACACUAAAGGGGUUUGUGUUUGUGUGGUAUGUGUGCCUGUGUUGGUCUGUGUGUGUUUGUGUGUGUAUUGUUUGGGAGAGUGAUUGUUGUAAUGGAAUAUUUUCAGUAUUCGAUGUGUUUGCCUCUCUGUCCCUGAUCUCAUCCUCCUAGACCCAGUUCCACUGAACAGAUAAGAAAAUGUGACCAUGGGUAGGAGUAUUUGAUUAUAGUCUAGUGUGAUCCAAGUGAACACUUUUGAAUGAGAAUACCAGGUUACUCAGCAAUGCUAUAAAAGUACCGAACUUUGCAAGGCAAAGAUUAUUGCUUUGGAACUUUUGGUGAUGACAACUUAGAUGCCCUCCUUGUCAUUUAUGUACCUUCGAUUGGGUUUCUUCUAUGUAAUGAAUCAUGUAACAGAUGACAUCUUGGAAUAAGAUAACAUAAAGGUGAUCUUGUCAAACUACCACCUAGAUAGCAUUUUAUUUUCUUACACAUCUAUAAUAUGGACCAUUUUACAAAGAACAUAGUUUAUCUUCACAACAGACACUUAAAGGAAAUAGGUCUGGGUUAAGUUGGAAAAAAUAAAACUUAGAGAUGAUAGGAGACUUGCACAGACCCAUGCUAAUUGGCAGAUUUUAGGUACAGACUGAAACCCAGAUCAUAUACCAUCAUCUUUACCGAAACACCUUCAUUUGUAUCCUACCGUUGUCUGUUAAGGAUGAUGAAUCCUGUUACCAG
Long non-coding RNA from Balaenoptera ricei (Rice's whale), 3371 nucleotides. RefSeq lists it as uncharacterized. The record is from RefSeq and is a predicted model, not a curated record. Lineage: Eukaryota; Metazoa; Chordata; Mammalia; Artiodactyla; Balaenopteridae. The transcript has 6 exons.